This 877-nucleotide long non-coding RNA is filed under the name Physcomitrium patens. RNAcentral's name for it is "long non-coding RNA (PPAT_LNC002703)". Lineage: Eukaryota; Viridiplantae; Streptophyta; Bryopsida; Funariales; Funariaceae. The record is from RNAcentral.
CUAAAGCUAAAAUCAAUCAUCUAUUACUUCUACAUGUAUAAGUUUUGAUUCUUGUAUUAAAAGAAUUUUAUAAAAUUUAAAAAAUUCUUCAUUGAAAAAGUAAGAAGAUGCAAUUGAAUCUAAUAAGAUAUUUCUUUAAAGUUUUUGUAGGCUAAAAAAUAAAGGAGUAGUAAAACAAAAAGUAUGUUCAAUAGAGAGAAAGAGACCUUAAUGAAUUUGAGGUAUUAGAAUAUCUAGCCACAUGGUUCUUAUUGUAGUUGAGCAUCUUCAUUUUCUUGAGUGAUUGCACUCUUACAUUUGGUUGUAUAUUAUUUCUUCCAAUAAUUUCUAGAUUUGUAGCCUUCUUUACCAUAAUACAAACAUAAGCCUUAUUCAAAUUGAAACUUCUUUUCUUUUGAUGUAGGAAGUUUGAAUUGUACUGCAUCAAUUUACACAUCUUCAACUCUAAAAUAUAGAAGUAAUGUAUUUAUUAAAGUAACAAAGUAAAAAUUUCCAAUACAUUGUUUUGUUAAAGUCUAAAAAUAUUAAUCUUGACUAUAUUGAAAUAAUUAAUUAUUAAAAUUCAUAGCUUGAUUAACAACUCCAUUCAAUAUUUGAAGAUCAACUAAUUAUAAUAAUAGGUCUUUUACAUCAUUCUUUAGUCUCCAAUAGAAUUGGCUUAUAAAAACUUAUUUAUUUCAAUUGAUGUAAUAAAUCAAUUAUCUAAAAUCAGAUGCAUAAACCAAUAUAGAACAUGAUCUUUGACGUAAUAAGUGAAUCUUUGUUAUUGUUCAUCAUGCCUUAUUAUAUUCUCUAAAUGCCUCUACAAAUACUUUUAAAAAAGCUUCAAAUUUGCUCAAGAUUGGAGAUUUUUUUUCAAAUAAAAGAGCAAACUAAA